RNAcentral lists this long non-coding RNA (2567 nucleotides) under Citrus maxima (pomelo). RNAcentral describes it as "long non-coding RNA (CMAX_LNC001115)". The record is from RNAcentral. Lineage: Eukaryota; Viridiplantae; Streptophyta; Magnoliopsida; Sapindales; Rutaceae.
AUAUUAUUACUAUUUAUUGUAUAAUGAUCAAAAUAAACAUCAAUUAACUAUAAAGUAUGUUUAAUAAAUGAUGUAAACAUACCUUUUCACUUUUCAAAGUACAGAAAAUGAAAAAAAAAAACUCAAUUAAAUAAUAUCUAAUGAAAAUUUAUCAAAAUACCAAUACAAUUAUAGAUAAUUAUUGAUUGCUGCUGCUUCCAGCUUCAUCUACAAUUUACAGAAAGAUUCAAAACAAUUACUUUAGAUGACUGGUGCAGCCAAAACUUCCAAGCAGGACCUCAACUAAGGUUCGACAGAACGAUUUAAUCGAACCAACCAUCUAUAAAUUUUACAAAGCUUCACCACCAGUAUCCAAGCAGGUAUGGAUUACUCCUAUCCUUUUUUUUUUUUAAUAGCCUCCUAAUGUAUAUAUACUUUACAAGCAAACUCGAUAGUUUUGUGUACCCAAAUCUUCUUAUUCGCCAGUCCUAACUCAUCGUCCCAGCCCAGUCAUUUACCACCAAAACAUACCUCAAUUUGUGCAAGAAAGAAAGAUGCACUGAUUGACACUCAACAACAGCAACACAAUAUUCACAAAAUCUCUUCCAAGAUGAUUCCUCUUCUCAUCUCAUGGCUGCAGCACGACUCGAUUGGUCGUUUCGCGACAUCGACUAACAACCAUAAUAAAGACCAGAACCUCACGUGUUGUAUGUGAACCCGCCGCCGUGUGAUUGAUGAAAUACACAAUACACGAACUUUGCCAAUGAAAAUCCUAAUUGACAGAAGCAAGAGUUUGUUAAUAGGUAUCUGAACCCAUUACUCUAAUAAAUGUAACGCUUGGGUCCCUCGCCUCUACUAGCCUUCGGCCACCAAGUAGAUUCGCUAGAUCAACUUAUCAGACAGUAGACAUUAAAGAAACAAUUUUUUUUUUAAAAAAAACCCUAAUUUUUCUUAAUAGCUUCUGCCGGUAACCCAAUAAUUAGACCUUUUUUCUUUUUCAAAUUUCAGCCCUUUGAUAUUUUGCUUCACCAUCUGAUGAUGAAAUCGCUAAAAGACAAAGAAGAAGUGUUACUUUACUCCUUAUGCAAAGUAGCCGGACCCGUCAUUUAGUAUUUGCGGUGUAGAAACUAACUACCUACUCCAUCCACUUUUAUUUUGAUAAAUUAUUUUAUUAUAACAAUACCCAUAAUUUUUAAUAAUAACUCCUUCUUAUAAACUAACAUAAUAUAAUUACUUUAAACACUAAUAUCAAAAUUUGUUGUUCAAUAUAUAAUUCUCUUGCCAUAAACUCUAAAAAAAUUUAUUUUUUAUCUCUUAAACAGUAUUCAGUUAAAUAAGGAGCAAAUCAGUACUUUUAAUAUAUCUUGAACAUAUUUUUACUUUUUGAUUUAAAAAAAAAAAAAUAAGAAAGAUUUUUUUUGCAGUCUUUUCCCUUUACUCCGUUGUCUUCUUCUUCUUACUCUUUUUUUUAAUCUUUUUUUUUUUGGGCUAGUAGCCAUAUUUUUUUUUUCAAUGGUUAGGUUCAAAAAUUGGGAUAUAGAAACUGACAUUGAACAUAUUGUAAAUAAACAAAAAAUAAUAACUGAAACUUAUGCUAAAAAAAUGUGUUUAAAGCAUAAUUUGAUUCCAUUAUUUUAAAUGUUAAAUUAUUAUUAUUUCAUCUUAGAUGUGCUAAAUAGUUUCAUUAGUAUUUUGAGUAAAUUAAUUUAACUAGUUUAAAUAAUUUUUUAUUUUAAAGAAUAUAAAAAUAAAAUUUAAUUUUUUUAGGAUACGAGUAUAUAAAAUAAUAAAAUGGUACGAAUAAUUUUUAAAAUAUAAAUAACUCUACGCCCUAGUAAUAUAGUAUCAAUAAUAAUUGUCACAUGCGCUGUGCCAGCGUGUGUAUCCAAAUUGUGAAACGUGGCCACCUUCAAUUACGAAAAGCAGCGUCCGUAGGCAGUCUGUAAUCAGAUUCACAUGACGCACUCGCCAUCAACUGGCGCGUGUUUCACAAUCAUUUGACAGAAGAAACAAAACUUUUUAUCGUUGAGGACGAUGAUUAAGGAGUUUCAGCUUUUAAUUCUUUCAACUGCUCGGCGGUUUUCCAUUAAAAAAAAACGACGGCCACUAAACACGAGAUCGAAUCCAAACUUUCUCAAAGCUUUUAUUUCAUCGUCUUCUUCUACAAUAUAAAUGCAAAAAUAUAAAAGAAAAUAAAAUCCUUUUAAUUUGAUCCUCAGAAUUAAUAAAAGCACUUCCACAAACUUACACAAAUACAGUCACCAUCUCCAAAUCCAUCCUUAAAUAUAUAUUUUUAAAAAAAAAAAUUGAUCGUUUGGUUGUUUGUUGAGAAACCCAGUUCUCCAAAACCACCCAAAAAUAAUAAUAAUAAUAAUAAGGUGGGGUUAUAAAAGCUGAAUCUUUUCUUUUCUGCCGGUAAAAGCGUUUUUCCGGCUUGGCUUACCUGUGAGGAUGGAAAAAGAACCUCUUUUAUGUUAUUUGAGCCCGAGGAAGAAACCGACGCCGCCACCUCCUCUGUUUCCACUUCCAGAAGAUGGAGAAAUCUCAAUUCCAAUGCCUGUAACUCCUUCAGAGCUCAAAGAUAGACU